Molecule: non-coding RNA, 507 nt
Organism: Pelobates cultripes (western spadefoot toad)
Lineage: Eukaryota; Metazoa; Chordata; Amphibia; Anura; Pelobatidae
Source: the annotation of a GenBank genome assembly
CACAGUGACAUACAGACACACAUACACAAUGAUAGGGAAGAAGACACACAAAGACACACUAACAGACAGACACACACACUAACAGACAUUUAGAUACACACAGACACACGGACAGAGACAUAUACAUACACACACACACUGACAGACAUGGAUACACACACACACACUGACAGACAUACACACACACACUGACAGACAUAGAUACACACACACACACUGACAGACAUAGAUACACACACACACACACUGACAGACAUAUACACACACACUGACAGACAUAGAUACACACAGACAGACAUAGAUACACACAGACACACUGACCAACAGGUUCAGAAGGGGGGCUUACCUGGGAUCCAAAGUGCUGCCUGAGGUAGUUGGGAGUUGGAGGAGCUGGUCCUGCCCAGCCCCCUCCUCUCUGCCUUCUGCUGCUCUUGUCUUCUUGGGAGGACUUCCUCCCAUGCUGACAAAAAGGGGACCGGUGGUAGCUCCGCCCCUGCUGUUCACCAG